RNAcentral lists this ribosomal RNA (253 nucleotides) under uncultured bacterium. Its description in RNAcentral is "partial 16S ribosomal RNA". It matches the Rfam family "Bacterial small subunit ribosomal RNA", at positions 524 to 776 of the family's 1533-position model. The record is from RNAcentral.
UACGAAGGGGGCUAGCGUUGCUCGGAAUUACUGGGCGUAAAGCGCACGUAGGCGGCUUUCUAAGUCGGGGGCGAAAUCCUGGAGCUCAACUCCAGAACUGCCUUCGAUACUGGAGAGCUCGAGUCCGGGAGAGGUGAGUGGAACUGCGAGUGUAGAGGUGAAAUUCGUAGAUAUUCGCAAGAACACCAGUGGCGAAGGCGGCUCACUGGCCCGGUACUGACGCUGAGGUGCGAAAGCGUGGGGAGCAAACAGG